ACGCAACAGAGACUGCCGUGGUUUCUAAAAUGUGAUUUUGUUAGCUGUCCAGGGAGGUUUGUCAAACGGAAAUGGCUUAAUGCAAAAUAUAUGCAUCCCCCACGGUUUUGAUAAAAAUAGGGCCAGCCAUUAACAGCACGAGUUCUUCUGGGUGAGCGUUACGUCAAUGCUAGAUCAAGGGAGCCAUCCAUUCCCCGGCGCGCCUCUAUGCAAACUGCUCAGCCCAGGAGGUGAGGCCUUAAUGUUGGACGCAGGAUGCAAAUAAAUUACUCAAAUCUUAUUCAAGAGUAUGUGUGCGUGCCGUGGUCCAAAGGCAAUUUUUAUGUCGGCAAAUGAAAUAUUGAUCCGGGCUGAUGGAGGCUCGUGCCAGGCAACACUGUGUGUGUGUGUGUGUGUGUGUAUGUUUUUUUUUUUCUUUCCCUGGCAUUUUAUCUCAAAGCAAGACUUUUUCUUUCUCUCCAGCUCCAGUAAAGCCAGCUGAGCCUGACAUACAUGUCACAUAUUUACCAUUCUGUGGCAGCUUCUGAAUUAUUAACUAAACGGAUCACAGAAUGCUGGGGCUAAUGACACUAAUCAGUAGUAAAGGGGAGGGGGGCGGGGGGUCUUUGUGGAUGCGACUUUGUCCAAGGCCUUGCUGAAAGAUGGCAUAGAGAGGGCAUGAGUUGUCAUGGGUGACAGCUGUCCUAUUUCUGAGAUCUGGUUGGAUGGCGCCGUGGUAGCACAGGCUUGCUCGCUAAUGGUGUUUGGACAGGGUGUGGAUGUUAUAUGUCUCAUUCUCUCCUCCCCCUGUGGAAUUAAUUAGGUUUAUUUCACCAAACAUGCCAAACUCACACAGAUGUAUAUGUUCCCCCGUUUAGUGUGUGUGAUUCCUCCACAGGAAACUGAUCAACACCACCUGGUCCUGUUUGAUCUAGGCUGCCAACACACAGAACACCCACAGACGGACUGCCUUUGUGACAACUGGAGGAACUGCUGCAGCAAUAGUGUUGUUACCUGUGUGUGUGUGUGUGUGUCUG
This is a long non-coding RNA of Clupea harengus (Atlantic herring), 1016 nucleotides long. The record is from Ensembl. NCBI's taxonomy places the organism in Eukaryota, Metazoa, Chordata, Actinopteri, Clupeiformes, Clupeidae.